UAACGGAUCGCGGUCAUGUUUAUAUAUCGCUUACAAAAUCACAGACCAUUAAAUCGAACACAAAAGACUGAUCUAUCGUAAAACAAGCAAUUAUAAAUAUUGAACCGUUUGAAAUGUCAGAUAUGUGGCCAUUUUCACAAUAUUUUAGGGAUAUUAUAUAAAAUCGGCAGAUAUGGCAUUUGCAUUAUCCGGCUGAAAUGGGUGACACGCCAUCAAGGCCUUCGGGCAGGCCUGGUUAUAUCAAUACAUCACCUUAUCCAAGACAAGGAUCAAACCAUGAACCGUUCAUGCACCAAAUAAAUUAUUCCUCGGAAAUGGGGAGAUCUGUUCAUUCAAUAAAAC
Long non-coding RNA from Ruditapes philippinarum (Manila clam), 342 nucleotides. RefSeq lists it as uncharacterized. The record is from RefSeq and is a predicted model, not a curated record. Lineage: Eukaryota; Metazoa; Mollusca; Bivalvia; Venerida; Veneridae. The transcript is spliced from 2 exons.